Musa acuminata subsp. malaccensis (wild Malaysian banana) is the source of this 408-nucleotide long non-coding RNA. RefSeq lists it as uncharacterized. NCBI's taxonomy places the organism in Eukaryota, Viridiplantae, Streptophyta, Magnoliopsida, Zingiberales, Musaceae. The record is from RefSeq and is a predicted model, not a curated record.
CUUCGACUGUAAAAGCAUAAACUCUGAUCUCACUCAUAAGACCUACAGAGGCUACAAUCUGUGCCAAGCUGAUGUUCCAGAGUUCCAAUGGUGUGUAUUCUGAAUUAAUGCAGACUUGGACGCUGAGUAUUUUAUGACAGAAGUCAACGCAGCUUCAACCCUCCCGAUUCAUCCCGACCCAUUUUGAAUUAGAUUCGGUUCAAAGAGUAACACAUUACUCCUUUGACUGUUGAUGAGAUACGAUGGCAAAGAGCCAGAGAAAAUUUACUUGGAGUUUCAUCUAAUAUCAUUUCGUAGUGUCCUCAGUUGAUCUUCCUGCAGUUGAGCCUAAUCUCGCCGUCGGUGCCGGUGAGAGGACUAAUGUUCCCCAUGUUCACCAUGGCGGUAGCGAAGUCGCUGAAGAAGGCG